This 547-nucleotide ribosomal RNA is filed under the name Scheffersomyces shehatae. RNAcentral describes it as "eukaryotic LSU rRNA". It matches the Rfam family "Eukaryotic large subunit ribosomal RNA", at positions 79 to 644 of the family's 3401-position model. The record is from RNAcentral. Lineage: Eukaryota; Fungi; Ascomycota; Pichiomycetes; Serinales; Debaryomycetaceae.
CUUAGUAACGGCGAGUGAAGCGACAAAAGCUCAAAUUUGAAAUCUGGCACCUUCGGUGUCCGAGUUGUAAUUUGAAGAAGGUAACUUUGGAGUUGGCUCUUGUCUAUGUUCCUUGGAACAGGACGUCACAGAGGGUGAGAAUCCCGUGCGAUGAGAUGUCCAACUCUAUGUAAAGUGCUUUCGAAGAGUCGAGUUGUUUGGGAAUGCAGCUCUAAGUGGGUGGUAAAUUCCAUCUAAAGCUAAAUAUUGGCGAGAGACCGAUAGCGAACAAGUACAGUGAUGGAAAGAUGAAAAGAACUUUGAAAAGAGAGUGAAAAAGUACGUGAAAUUGUUGAAAGGGAAGGGUUUGAGAUCAGACUUGGUAUUUUGUAUGUCUUGCUUUCGGGUGGGGCCUCUGCAGUUUACUGGGCCAGCAUCGGUUUGGACGGUAGGAUAAUGACAUUGGAAUGUGGCACUACUUCGGUGGUGUGUUAUAGACUUUGUUGAUACUGCCUGUCUAGACCGAGGACUGCGUCUUUGACUAGGAUGCUGGCAUAAUGAUCCUAAA